Molecule: transfer RNA, 74 nt
Filed under: Candidatus Hydrothermia bacterium
Lineage: Bacteria; Pseudomonadati; Caldifarciminota; Caldifarciminia
Description: tRNA-Val
Source: RNAcentral
GGGUGCGUAGCUCAGUUGGUGAGAGCGCCAUCCUCACACGAUGGAGGUCCCCCGUUCAAGUCGGGGCGCACCCA